GCAGAGCGCGAGAGGUCCCGUCCGCCCCAGCCGCGUCUGGGCCAGGAUAAAAGCAAAACCAUAUUCCUGCUGCUGUCAGUUAUGAUGCACUGAGAAAACUUCAGAGACCUAAACUUUUUCCAGAGAAGAGAAGCUUUACUGGUGUUCCAGCCCUAAGCAUUGACUUCACUAAUGGAUGUGACCUGGUUGGCAGCAGUAGCUUGCACAACAUGCUUGUUUGCAAAACCUUUGUUCAAGAAAACGGCAGAUGCUCUGUUGAAUCCACUGGAGAUUGUUCUGAUACUAAGGACAAGUAUCAACCAUCUUUCCUGUGAAAAAUUCCCUCUCGUACUUUAGUUCUGUGGAUCCAAAAUUUAUAGCAUUCUUCUACCACCACAGGGGCUCAUAUGACAUUAACAGACAAGACACUUUUCAGAAAGACAGGCAACGUGUUGGACCUUCCGGAGCUUCUCAGAAGACAGAGGGUUUUCUUUUGAGGCUGUUGUACAGUGGCCUGAUUAUAGCUCACUGUAGCCUCGAAAUUCUGGGCUGAAAUGAUCCUCCUGCCUCAGCCUCCAAAGUAGCUGAGACUAGAGGCUGGUCUUGAACUCUUGGGCUGAAGAGAUUCUCCCACCUCAGCCUCCCAAGGUGUUGAGAUUACAAGCAUGAGCCACCUCACCUGGCCAAGAGCUAGUUGUUAAAAGAGCCUAGCAGUACCCACCUCUUUCUUGUUUCCUCUCUCACCAUGUGAUCUCCACACACAUUGGCUUGCCUUCCCUUUCUGACAUGAGCGGAAGCAGCCUGAGGCCCUCACCAGAUGUGGAUGCCAGUGCCAUGCUUCUUGUACAAUCUGCAGAAUCAUAAGCUAAAUACACCUCUUUUCUUUAUAAAUUACCCAGCCUUGGGUAUUCCUUUAUAGCAACACAAACGGAGAAAGACAUAUGCAAUUUGCCAUUUUAAUCAUUUUUAACUGUACAAUUUGGUGGUAUUAAUUAUAUUUACAAUGUUGUGCAACCGUUACCACCAUCUAUUACCAAAGCCCUUUCAUCACCCCAAAUAGAAACUGUGCUUAUUCAGCAAAAACUCCCAUUUUCCUCUCCUUCCAGCCCCUGGUAACCUCUGGUAACCUCUAAUCUACUUCCUGUCUCUAUGAAUUUGCCUAUUGUAAAUAUUUCACAUAAUGGUAUCAUACACUAUCCUUUUGUGUCUAGCUUAUUUCACUUAGCAUAAUGUUUUCAAGGUUCAUCCAUCUUAUAGCAUGUAUCAGUAUUCCAUUCUUCUUUUCUAUGGCUGAAUAAUAAUUGUAUGUAUAUACUGC
Homo sapiens (human) is the source of this 1297-nucleotide long non-coding RNA. Ensembl annotates it as NUTM2B antisense RNA 1. Its record names the gene NUTM2B-AS1. The record is from Ensembl. NCBI's taxonomy places the organism in Eukaryota, Metazoa, Chordata, Mammalia, Primates, Hominidae.